Molecule: ribosomal RNA, 484 nt
Filed under: uncultured bacterium
Lineage: Bacteria
Description: partial 16S ribosomal RNA
Rfam family: Bacterial small subunit ribosomal RNA
Source: RNAcentral
AUUGAACGCUGGCGGCAUGCUUUACACAUGCAAGUCGAACGGCAGCGCGGGCUUCGGCCUGGCGGCGAGUGGCGCACGGGUGAGUAAUGCAUCGGAACGUGCCCAGUAGUGGGGGAUAGCCCGGCGAAAGCCGGAUUAAUACCGCAUACGACCUGCGGGUGAAAGCGGGGGACCGAAAGGCCUCGCGCUAUUGGAGCGGCCGAUGUCGGAUUAGCUAGUUGGUGGGGUAAAGGCUUACCAAGGCGACGAUCCGUAGCUGGUCUGAGAGGACGACCAGCCACACUGGGACUGAGACACGGCCCAGACUCCUACGGGAGGCAGCAGUGGGGAAUUUUGGACAAUGGGGGCAACCCUGAUCCAGCCAUGCCGCGUGCGGGAAGAAGGCCUUCGGGUUGUAAACCGCUUUUGUUCGGGAAGAAAUCCUCUGGGCUAAUACCCCGGGGGGAUGACGGUACCGGAAGAAUAAGCACCGGCUAACUACGUG